ACAAACUUAAUUAAACAGGGUUUGUUCUAUAGGCUCAUACCGUUGCAUCCUUUACCAAUAAAGAGGCAACCACUUCAAUCUGGUUGUUGCAUUCUGACCUCUGGGUCAGAGCAUGAUUAAGGGCUAGGAUUCCACCUAAUGGGUGCCAUCUGACGGCUGUAGUGGCUCACACUGGCACAGGGUGGCCUAGAGGUUAUCAUUUUUUUUGCGAAAUGGCCUAGAGGUUGUCUGAAAGACU
This 238-nucleotide small nucleolar RNA is filed under the name Triticum aestivum (bread wheat). Its description in RNAcentral is "Plant small nucleolar RNA U3". It matches the Rfam family "Plant small nucleolar RNA U3". From Rfam's summary of the family: Small nucleolar RNAs (snoRNAs) are involved in the processing and modification of rRNA in the nucleolus. There are two main classes of snoRNAs: the box C/D class, and the box H/ACA class. Lineage: Eukaryota; Viridiplantae; Streptophyta; Magnoliopsida; Poales; Poaceae. The record is from Rfam by way of RNAcentral.